This 501-nucleotide ribosomal RNA is filed under the name uncultured bacterium. RNAcentral describes it as "bacterial SSU rRNA". It matches the Rfam family "Bacterial small subunit ribosomal RNA", at positions 29 to 526 of the family's 1533-position model. The record is from RNAcentral.
AUUGAACGCUGGCGGCAUGCCUUACACAUGCAAGUCGAACGGCAGCACGGGGCAACCUGGUGGCGAGUGGCGAACGGGUGAGUAAUGCAUCGGAACGUACCCGGAAGUGGGGGAUAACUCUCCGAAAGGAGUGCUAAUACCGCAUAUUCUGUGAGCAGGAAAGCAGGGGACCGCAAGGCCUUGUGCUUCCGGAGCGGCCGAUGUCAGAUUAGCUAGGUGGUGGGGUAACGGCCUACCAAGGCGACGAUCUGUAGCGGGUCUGAGAGGAUGAUCCGCCACACUGGGACUGAGACACGGCCCAGACUCCUACGGGAGGCAGCAGUGGGGAAUUUUGGACAAUGGGGGCAACCCUGAUCCAGCCAUGCCGCGUGAGUGAAGAAGGCCUUCGGGUUGUAAAGCUCUUUCGGCCGGGAAGAAAUCGCAUGGGCUAAUACCCUGUGUGGAUGACGGUACCGGAAUAAGAAGCACCGGCUAACUACGUGCCAGCUGCCGCCGUAACAC